Molecule: ribosomal RNA, 227 nt
Filed under: uncultured bacterium
Lineage: Bacteria
Description: partial 16S ribosomal RNA
Rfam family: Bacterial small subunit ribosomal RNA
Source: RNAcentral
UACGUAGGGUGCAAGCGUUGUCCGGAAUUAUUGGGCGUAAAGAGCUCGUAGGCGGUUUGUUGCGUCGGCUGUGAAAUCCCGAGGCUCAACCUCGGGUCUGCAGUCGAUACGAGCAAACUAGAGUGUUGCAGGGGAGACUGGAAUUCCUGGUGAUAGCGGUGAAAUGCGCAGACUAUCAGGAGGAACACCGGUGGCGAAGGCGGGUCUCUGGGCAACAACUGACGCUG